RNAcentral lists this ribosomal RNA (2903 nucleotides) under Escherichia coli MGH 58. Its description in RNAcentral is "bacterial LSU rRNA". It matches the Rfam family "Bacterial large subunit ribosomal RNA". Lineage: Bacteria; Pseudomonadati; Pseudomonadota; Gammaproteobacteria; Enterobacterales; Enterobacteriaceae. The record is from RNAcentral.
UUAAGCGACUAAGCGUACACGGUGGAUGCCCUGGCAGUCAGAGGCGAUGAAGGACGUGCUAAUCUGCGAUAAGCGUCGGUAAGGUGAUAUGAACCGUUAUAACCGGCGAUUUCCGAAUGGGGAAACCCAGUGUGAUUCGUCACACUAUCAUUAACUGAAUCCAUAGGUUAAUGAGGCGAACCGGGGGAACUGAAACAUCUAAGUACCCCGAGGAAAAGAAAUCAACCGAGAUUCCCCCAGUAGCGGCGAGCGAACGGGGAGCAGCCCAGAGCCUGAAUCAGUGUGUGUGUUAGUGGAAGCGUCUGGAAAGGCGCGCGAUACAGGGUGACAGCCCCGUACACAAAAAUGCACAUGCUGUGAGCUCGAUGAGUAGGGCGGGACACGUGGUAUCCUGUCUGAAUAUGGGGGGACCAUCCUCCAAGGCUAAAUACUCCUGACUGACCGAUAGUGAACCAGUACCGUGAGGGAAAGGCGAAAAGAACCCCGGCGAGGGGAGUGAAAAAGAACCUGAAACCGUGUACGUACAAGCAGUGGGAGCCUCUUUAUGGGGUGACUGCGUACCUUUUGUAUAAUGGGUCAGCGACUUAUAUUCUGUAGCAAGGUUAACCGAAUAGGGGAGCCGAAGGGAAACCGAGUCUUAACUGGGCGUUAAGUUGCAGGGUAUAGACCCGAAACCCGGUGAUCUAGCCAUGGGCAGGUUGAAGGUUGGGUAACACUAACUGGAGGACCGAACCGACUAAUGUUGAAAAAUUAGCGGAUGACUUGUGGCUGGGGGUGAAAGGCCAAUCAAACCGGGAGAUAGCUGGUUCUCCCCGAAAGCUAUUUAGGUAGCGCCUCGUGAAUUCAUCUCCGGGGGUAGAGCACUGUUUCGGCAAGGGGGUCAUCCCGACUUACCAACCCGAUGCAAACUGCGAAUACCGGAGAAUGUUAUCACGGGAGACACACGGCGGGUGCUAACGUCCGUCGUGAAGAGGGAAACAACCCAGACCGCCAGCUAAGGUCCCAAAGUCAUGGUUAAGUGGGAAACGAUGUGGGAAGGCCCAGACAGCCAGGAUGUUGGCUUAGAAGCAGCCAUCAUUUAAAGAAAGCGUAAUAGCUCACUGGUCGAGUCGGCCUGCGCGGAAGAUGUAACGGGGCUAAACCAUGCACCGAAGCUGCGGCAGCGACGCUUAUGCGUUGUUGGGUAGGGGAGCGUUCUGUAAGCCUGCGAAGGUGUGCUGUGAGGCAUGCUGGAGGUAUCAGAAGUGCGAAUGCUGACAUAAGUAACGAUAAAGCGGGUGAAAAGCCCGCUCGCCGGAAGACCAAGGGUUCCUGUCCAACGUUAAUCGGGGCAGGGUGAGUCGACCCCUAAGGCGAGGCCGAAAGGCGUAGUCGAUGGGAAACAGGUUAAUAUUCCUGUACUUGGUGUUACUGCGAAGGGGGGACGGAGAAGGCUAUGUUGGCCGGGCGACGGUUGUCCCGGUUUAAGCGUGUAGGCUGGUUUUCCAGGCAAAUCCGGAAAAUCAAGGCUGAGGCGUGAUGACGAGGCACUACGGUGCUGAAGCAACAAAUGCCCUGCUUCCAGGAAAAGCCUCUAAGCAUCAGGUAACAUCAAAUCGUACCCCAAACCGACACAGGUGGUCAGGUAGAGAAUACCAAGGCGCUUGAGAGAACUCGGGUGAAGGAACUAGGCAAAAUGGUGCCGUAACUUCGGGAGAAGGCACGCUGAUAUGUAGGUGAAGUCCCUUGCGGAUGGAGCUGAAAUCAGUCGAAGAUACCAGCUGGCUGCAACUGUUUAUUAAAAACACAGCACUGUGCAAACACGAAAGUGGACGUAUACGGUGUGACGCCUGCCCGGUGCCGGAAGGUUAAUUGAUGGGGUUAGCGGUAACGCGAAGCUCUUGAUCGAAGCCCCGGUAAACGGCGGCCGUAACUAUAACGGUCCUAAGGUAGCGAAAUUCCUUGUCGGGUAAGUUCCGACCUGCACGAAUGGCGUAAUGAUGGCCAGGCUGUCUCCACCCGAGACUCAGUGAAAUUGAACUCGCUGUGAAGAUGCAGUGUACCCGCGGCAAGACGGAAAGACCCCGUGAACCUUUACUAUAGCUUGACACUGAACAUUGAGCCUUGAUGUGUAGGAUAGGUGGGAGGCUUUGAAGUGUGGACGCCAGUCUGCAUGGAGCCGACCUUGAAAUACCACCCUUUAAUGUUUGAUGUUCUAACGUUGGCCCCUAAUCGGGGUUGCGGACAGUGUCUGGUGGGUAGUUUGACUGGGGCGGUCUCCUCCUAAAGAGUAACGGAGGAGCACGAAGGUUGGCUAAUCCUGGUCGGACAUCAGGAGGUUAGUGCAAUGGCAUAAGCCAGCUUGACUGCGAGCGUGACGGCGCGAGCAGGUGCGAAAGCAGGUCAUAGUGAUCCGGUGGUUCUGAAUGGAAGGGCCAUCGCUCAACGGAUAAAAGGUACUCCGGGGAUAACAGGCUGAUACCGCCCAAGAGUUCAUAUCGACGGCGGUGUUUGGCACCUCGAUGUCGGCUCAUCACAUCCUGGGGCUGAAGUAGGUCCCAAGGGUAUGGCUGUUCGCCAUUUAAAGUGGUACGCGAGCUGGGUUUAGAACGUCGUGAGACAGUUCGGUCCCUAUCUGCCGUGGGCGCUGGAGAACUGAGGGGGGCUGCUCCUAGUACGAGAGGACCGGAGUGGACGCAUCACUGGUGUUCGGGUUGUCAUGCCAAUGGCACUGCCCGGUAGCUAAAUGCGGAAGAGAUAAGUGCUGAAAGCAUCUAAGCACGAAACUUGCCCCGAGAUGAGUUCUCCCUGACUCCCUGAGAGUCCUGAAGGAACGUUGAAGACGACGACGUUGAUAGGCCGGGUGUGUAAGCGCAGCGAUGCGUUGAGCUAACCGGUACUAAUGAACCGUGAGGCUUAACCUU